GCCUAACACAUGCAAGUCGAGCGGCAGCACAAGUGAGUUACUCAUGAGGCGGCGAGUGGCGGACGGGUGAGUAAUGCCUAGGGAUCUGCCCAGUCGAGGGUGGAUAACAGUUGGAAACUGACUGCUAAUACCUGCAUUACUGCCCUACGAGGGUGAAAGAGAGGGGACCUUCGGGCCUCUCAGCGAUUGGAUGAACCUAGGUGAGGAUUAAGCUAAGUUGGUGAGAGUAAAUGGCUCACCAAUGCGACGAUCCCUAGCUGUUUCUGAGANGUGAUGAUCAGCCACACUUGGGACUGAAGACACUGGCCCAGACUCCUACGGGAGNGCAGCGGUUGGGGAAUAUUGCACAAUGGGGUGAAACCCUNGAUUGCAGCCAUGCCGCGUGUGUUGAAGAAGGCCUUCGGGUCUGUAAAGCACUUUCAGUAGGGAGGCAAAGGUUGUAAAGUUAAUACCUUGCAUGGCUGUGACGUUACCUACAGAAGAAGGACCGGUAACUCCGUGC
Molecule: ribosomal RNA, 502 nt
Filed under: uncultured bacterium
Lineage: Bacteria
Description: bacterial SSU rRNA
Rfam family: Bacterial small subunit ribosomal RNA
Source: RNAcentral